Molecule: transfer RNA, 69 nt
Filed under: Ictidomys tridecemlineatus (thirteen-lined ground squirrel)
Lineage: Eukaryota; Metazoa; Chordata; Mammalia; Rodentia; Sciuridae
Description: Spermophilus tridecemlineatus (thirteen-lined ground squirrel) tRNA
Rfam family: tRNA
About the family: Transfer RNA (tRNA) molecules are approximately 80 nucleotides in length. Their secondary structure includes four short double-helical elements and three loops (D, anti-codon, and T loops). Further hydrogen bonds mediate the characteristic L-shaped molecular structure. tRNAs have two regions of fundamental functional importance: the anti-codon, which is responsible for specific mRNA codon recognition, and the 3' end, to which the tRNAs corresponding amino acid is attached (by aminoacyl-tRNA synthetases). tRNAs cope with the degeneracy of the genetic code in two manners: having more than one tRNA (with a specific anti-codon) for a particular amino acid; and 'wobble' base-pairing, i.e. permitting non-standard base-pairing at the 3rd anti-codon position.
Source: Rfam by way of RNAcentral
GGGGUUGUGGCUCAGUGGUAGAGUGCUCGCUUAGCACGCGAAAGGCCCUGGGUUCGAACCUCAACACCA